UACAUUUCAAAGUGAUGAGAUAAAGUCAAAAUCAUAGUUUGCUUUAAAAGAUUUGCACAAUAAUGUAUUUCAAUCUCAUAUGAAUAUUCCCAAAAAAAAUCUCAUAUGAAUAUGUCAAUUUUACAAGUUUAAAUGUCUGAUAUAUCCUUAAAUAUUAAUUGUUUAGCAACCAUUGGAACAUAAUGCUUGAGUGAUAACAAUAAAAAUUGCUUUAGAUUUCCCAUUUGAUUAUAUGUAUGAUUAGAUUAAAAUAAUGUUCUCCUCCUACGCACCAAAUUAUUUUAAAUCUUUUCUUUAUAGCUCAGUUGUUCAAAAGCAUUUGCCUUUACAUCGGAGGUGUUGAUUCGAAUCUUCUCCUUAUAGUUCAAAUGAAUUUAAAUUAAAUUAUCUUAACGUUUGUUAAAAAAAAAACUAAAAUAUCGCUAAAAAAAUGGUAUGAACUAACCCAAGUAAGAAUAAUACUUGUGUUUUUUCAUUGGGGGAAUACACAUAUCUCACAUUUUACGAAUAACAUUCGGGCCAAACUUCAGGUAGAGUGGGAAAAGAGAAUUAACAUUAGGAUAUAUUAUUGGUUUGAUAUCGAGAGGUCGAGAUUGUAUGUUGUAGAUUGUCACAAACAUGAUAUUGGAAACCAAAUAAACGUUAGAAGACUCCACUUGCAUAAGUUAAGAAGUAGACUGAUGAACAAAAUGAUUCCUAACCAUUCCACAGAAGAGAUAGAGGGAGACAUCUAAUUAGCAUAUUUUUAUAAAGUAUGAAAGAGAUAUAAAGCGAAGAAAAUAGAGUGACAGAGAUUUGAAUUUUAAUAUCCAAUUUGUGUGAUGGGGAUUACAUGCAUAUGGGUGGUAGUCAAAAUAUACACCUCAAGAUCGAAAGCAGACAACUAAAUCAAACUCAGGCCGUAAUAUAAUCCUCUAACACCCUAUGGGAGAAAUCUAUAUCUUUCAUCUCAUUGCAUCCUCCAAUAAGAAUGGGAGGAUGUUGCCAAGUGGCAACCACCUCAUUUUCAUUUCUAAAGUCUGUUUAGGGCUGGUUGUAAUUUAAGUGAUUACGAGCAUGUACUUUUCAAUUUUAGGUGUCAUGCAUACACGGUUUACUUUAAGAGAUUUUUUUUUUUACUUUUUUAUCAUCUUUUGUUCUGGAGGGUUUCGAACAAUAAAUCUUUCAAACUCCUACAUUAUCCACCAUCUAUCACCAGGCUAACCCCAAUAUUUUGAGAACAAAAAGUAUUUUAUUUUAUCCUUCAUUAUCUUUGUUGUGCUAAAUUCCUACAUUAUCUUCAUGUUAUUUUUGUUGGCUUACAAUCAUAUCACAUACAUAUUUUGGAUUUAAUUGGAUUGUUGUUACAUUUCAAAGUGAUGAGAUAAAGUCAACAUCAUAGUUUGCUUUAUAAGAUUUGCACAAUAAUGAAAAAAAUAUCUCAUAUGAAUAUGUCAAUAUUACAAGUUUAAAUGUCUGAUAUAUCCUUAAUUAAAUAUUAAUUGUUUAGCAUGACACACCCCGACCCAGAGGAUCAAGGCGUGCUGGCCGUCACGUGAGCGUGACGUAACCAAAAGUGCGACGCGGAAGCAAGAUAUAAC
This 1580-nucleotide long non-coding RNA is filed under the name Malus domestica (apple). RNAcentral describes it as "long non-coding RNA (MDOM_LNC014648)". Lineage: Eukaryota; Viridiplantae; Streptophyta; Magnoliopsida; Rosales; Rosaceae. The record is from RNAcentral.